This 235-nucleotide ribosomal RNA is filed under the name Clostridioides difficile. RNAcentral describes it as "partial 23S ribosomal RNA". It matches the Rfam family "Bacterial large subunit ribosomal RNA", at positions 353 to 591 of the family's 2925-position model. The record is from RNAcentral. Lineage: Bacteria; Bacillati; Bacillota; Clostridia; Peptostreptococcales; Peptostreptococcaceae.
CACCACAGAAGGUAAUAGUCCUGUAUGUUAAACGAGAAGACUUCAGAUAUGAUCCAGAGGACCACGGGACACGUGAAACCCUGUGGGAAGCAGGAGGGACCACCCUCCAAGGCUAAAUACUACCUAGUGACCGAUAGCGUAUAGUACCGUGAGGGAAAGGUGAAAAGAACCCCGGGAGGGGAGUGAAAUAGAACCUGAAACCCUGCACUUACAAGCUGUGGAAGCACAUUUCUUG